GUGCCAGCCGCCGCGGUAAAACGUAGGACGCGAGCGUUAUCCGGAUUUACUGGGCGUAAAGGGUGUGUAGGUGGCUGAGCAAGUCGAAGAUGAAAUCCCAGGGCUCAACCCUGGAAUUGUCUUUGAUACUGUUCAGCUUGAGGGUGGUCGAGGAAGACGGAAUUCCCGGUGGAGCGGUGAAAUGCGUAGAUAUCGGGAGGAACACCGGAGGCGAAGGCGGUCUUCUGGGCCACUCCUGACACUGAGGCACGAAAGCUAGGGGAGCGAACGGGAUUAGAUACCCCGGUAGUCCUAGCCGUAAACGAUGGGCACUAGAUGUUCCCACAUUUUGUGGGAGUGUCGAAGCUAACGCGUUAAGUGCCCCGCCUGGGGAGUACGGUCGCAAGGCUGAAACUUAAAUGAAUUGACGGGG
This 412-nucleotide ribosomal RNA is filed under the name uncultured prokaryote. RNAcentral's name for it is "bacterial SSU rRNA". It matches the Rfam family "Bacterial small subunit ribosomal RNA", at positions 505 to 918 of the family's 1533-position model. The record is from RNAcentral.